Molecule: long non-coding RNA, 474 nt
Organism: Halichondria panicea
Lineage: Eukaryota; Metazoa; Porifera; Demospongiae; Suberitida; Halichondriidae
Exons: 4
Source: RefSeq, a predicted model, not a curated record
AUGAGGGUCUAGCCACACCAAUUAGCUUCAAAUCUCCCUAGCAUAAUUAUGUUUCUACCUGUGCAAGCAAACAAGCCACAUCUUUAUUACAGCCACCUGUUGGUCUGCCCAACUGUGACCACCAUAAACAAGUUUCUCAGAACUGAACUCGAUCACUAUAAUUCACAUGCAUGUGGAACCUCCGACGAGGAGUGGUGAUACGAAUGGUCCUCGGGGGAACCAAUACAUCCAACAAGUCAACUGUGUUAGCCUGUGUAUAUUUCAUUAUGAUCAUUAUGAGUCAAGCUAAAGCACUCAGACAAAGAUUUACCAAGAAAUCGUGUCACAUUGGUAUGAAGAAGCUCAUCUCGAUUAUAGAAGCAUCUAAAAAGGCAAAUAGUUAUGAUGUGGACAUGAUCGUAAGGAGGUUAGAAAUUGAAGGACACCUCACCAACUAAACUAUUGUUAAUUGCUGCCACUUUCUAAGACAUCUCU